AAAAAAGAAAGAAAGUGAAAAUCAGUUUUUCACCACCUUCGUCCCUCCUUCCUCUCCUUCCAAUUCAACAGUAAAAGAGUUAAUAAGUUCUGCAAUUUUCAACCAUUGUCAGUAAACUUCAACCUUCCCAACCACAUUUCAGAUUCCUAGGGGUAGGCAUUGAAGAAGCUCACCAUAGCUUCACCUCCGAUUCCUAGGGGUAGGCAUUGAAGAAGCUACACCAUAGCUUCACCUCCCUCCAUUAAUGGAGUCUGACCAAGCUUCCAAAAACCAGAAAAUUUCCCCUAUAAAUAGCAUCCCAAACUCAUUCCAUUGCUCAAACAAACAAAUUUAACUUCAAAGACUCCGAUUUCGUAGACAAGGACUACCAAGAGUGCUAACACGUUCGUGAACUUAACUUUGGGCACGCGUCACGAGGUGGGUGAUCGAUCGGGGGAACAAAAGGGAGAUCAUUUAGAGUUGUCAUCCACUUAGCAUAUGAUUAGCUUCCGCUGGAACUCUGAAACAUUUAGUUAAUUAGUAUUGUUUAAUGAAUAAUUUACUUAGUAGUUUUAUUAAUGAAUUUGAGUUGGUGUGUUGUAACUUAGCCUUGCAUUUAUUUCCAAGGAGAUAAUUGCGGCGGUAACACCACCCCGUCGGAUCGAACCCUCGUGGAUCCGUUUUCCCCCGACAACCCGAGUUUUAUCGAAAUGGAAAAGGGUUCGGGUCGGCGGGGGUGUUACAUUUGUUGGCUACGAAAUUUUGACAUGUUGUACUAUAAAUAGUCAGCAGCUUGCUUGUAAAAUAUAAGCUUUGAUUAAUAAAAAUACAGAGAGUUCUCUCUAAUUGAAAACAAGUGUGUUUU
Beta vulgaris subsp. vulgaris (sugar beet) is the source of this 844-nucleotide long non-coding RNA. RefSeq lists it as uncharacterized. The transcript has 3 exons. NCBI's taxonomy places the organism in Eukaryota, Viridiplantae, Streptophyta, Magnoliopsida, Caryophyllales, Amaranthaceae. The record is from RefSeq and is a predicted model, not a curated record.